RNAcentral lists this ribosomal RNA (245 nucleotides) under uncultured bacterium. RNAcentral describes it as "partial 16S ribosomal RNA". It matches the Rfam family "Bacterial small subunit ribosomal RNA", at positions 527 to 772 of the family's 1533-position model. The record is from RNAcentral.
GUAGGGGGCGAGCGUUAUCCGGAUUCAUUGGGCGUAAAGCGCGCGCAGGCGGGCUUGCAAGCGGGGCCUUUAAUCUUGGGGCUUAACCUCAAGUCGGGUUCCGAACUGCAAGCCUCGAGUGUGGUAGGGGAAGGCGGAAUUCCCGGUGUAGCGGUGGAAUGCGCAGAUAUCGGGAAGAACACCGAUGGCGAAGGCAGCCUUCUGGGCCACUACUGACGCUGAGGCGCGAAAGCUGGGGGAGCGAA